Molecule: ribosomal RNA, 144 nt
Filed under: bacterium 052345
Lineage: Bacteria
Description: partial 16S rRNA
Rfam family: Bacterial small subunit ribosomal RNA
Source: RNAcentral
UGGGGAAUAUUGCACAAUGGGCGCAAGCCUGAUGCAGCAACGCCGCGUGGGGGAUGACGGCCUUCGGGUUGUAAACCUCUUUUAGUAGGGAAGAAGGGCUUCGGCUUGACGGUACCUGCAGAAAAAGGACCGGCUAACUACGUG